GGUUGACUUUUUAAAUAUGGCGAUAAGGAAAAGGACAGAGUCAAGGAUAUCUCCUCCAUUUCUGGUUUGUGCAACAGACACUGGUGCAAUUUACUAAGGAAAGGAACACCAUGGAGCCAAACUUGUGGGAAGAAGACCCCGACUUGGCUUCUGAACAUUCCUUUGUGAUGUUCAGAUAGUGCUCUCAGGUAAAGAGAAGAAUUAGAGGAACUGACAGAAGUCGAGCUGGAGAGACACAACACUCUGUACAGACAAAGCCCAAAAAGCAAUCAGAUCUGACUUGCUCUAGUUUAUCCAUACAUGUGCCUGUAAGAAUCAACAACAACCAAAGACGGGAAACAACUGAAGCUGUACCACUGCGUCCCUUGGUAUUUGCGAUGCCAUCUGAACAGAUUUUUAAUGGUUUUCCAAAGAUGACUUGGCACCUCCCCAGGAAUACUGAAUCAUAA
This 449-nucleotide long non-coding RNA is filed under the name Chinchilla lanigera (long-tailed chinchilla). Its description in RNAcentral is "lncRNA (ENSCLAG00000027882.1)". Lineage: Eukaryota; Metazoa; Chordata; Mammalia; Rodentia; Chinchillidae. The record is from RNAcentral.